Long non-coding RNA from Chrysemys picta bellii (western painted turtle), 2336 nucleotides. RefSeq lists it as uncharacterized. The record is from RefSeq and is a predicted model, not a curated record. NCBI's taxonomy places the organism in Eukaryota, Metazoa, Chordata, Testudines, Emydidae.
CUGGGCUGAAGGGUCAGAGCAGCCAUUCUAUAAGCAGCUAAGCCAGAUAUGAUUAUAAGUCAUCAGAUCACGCCUAGAACUACUUAUCUGAAUUCCAAUGUCAAGCAAACAGCAGGAACAAGACAGCUAAGAAGAAAGAAGCCACAGCACAGCUUAUUAAAGCAGCAACCUUCCAGUCCAGCACUUUGCUUCUACAACUUGAUGACAUUGCCAAGACUUCAGCAUCAUUGAGAAUCAUAGAAUAUCAGAGUCGGAACGGAUCUCAGGAGGUCAUCUAGUCCAACGCCCUGUCAAAGCAGGACCAAUCCCCAACUAAAUCAUCCAAGAGUGUAGAAGAGUGUCCCCACCAGAGCGUACCCACUCUAAAGGUGCAAUCUUUGUUGAAAGCUCUCCAGUCAGACAGACAGAGGAGACUGUAUCUGAAGUAACUAGUGUUUACUGCUUGUGUUCUGUUUUGUCUGUCUUUGAUCACGGUGCUCCUUCAGGCCUGGUGUGCAGAACUCCAUGUGACUAGACUACCCGGAAUCACAAUUCCUGAAUUGGCAUUGAGAGUCAAUUAAGAUGUGACCAACCAUUUCUUGUUUCUUUAGACCAGAGAUUCCCAAACUCUGGUACGUGCACGUGAUGUGAUGUUCCAUCCAUUCACUUCACAACAAAUUUAAAAUGGUGCAAGAACCAAUAAAGUCCAGGAGCUGCUUCUCUAGGCUACAAAUGUUUAGUAAUUUUUGUGAUAAAAUUACUCGGUGCUCAACACUGUAAAACUCCCCUUUUUAUCCUACACCAUAUCAUAGCAUCUUCCAACAAUGUCAAACUGACAGUGCUCAACGAUGUUAAUUAUAAGCAUAUUAGUAAAUGUUUAUUUUGUUAAAUGAUAAUGCAUUCUGCAGAUUGGGAAAGAACAUCACAAAGCUAUUUCAGUAGACUGUUCUUCACAGAAAGCCUUAAGAACUACGAGCUAUUUUGUAACAUUUGACACUUCCACUGUUUGUCAUAGCAGCUGAAAUGAAAACAAAAGUUGCAAUUUGCUGCCCACAUAUAAUGUCACCAGGAACAAUCAUAUAGAAAUAAGGAACUGUUCCCUGCUGGAAAGUUUCAAAAGAAGUCAUUUGUUUAUGUGUCAGCCCCUUUGUCAUUAAGCUACUCCACUUACAAUUAAAAUUCAAUGCUAUUUCCACUGAUCCAGUGCAGUGCUAUAUUUGCUUAAUGCUUGUAUAAUUAACAGCUUCACCUAGAGAGACUAAUCAAAGACAGUGAGAUAAAGACAAGGUAAGUCAGAAAGUGUACACAUGGUUGGAUUUUAAGAUGAAACUACUGAAUACUCUGAGUAGUUAAAAUCUUUUUUAAGAAUGGCAGAAGCCAAUAAAGACAGACAUAGACGUCUGAAAUUUGUGGCCAAGUGGCCACAACUUUAUUAAUUUCAUAAGAGGACACUUCCUGGGCCAACCUUCACUGGCAGCAGUGAAAAGAGAGAAAGGGCUGUGAUGAUCCCUCCGUCACCCGUCUUCACCCUUUUGAUGUUGAAAUCCCACAGUCUCAGGCUGUACAUCACAAACCAACCAUGAAAGUUCUCAAAGCACCCAGGCCAACAAACUACAAAAGUCAAAGUUCACAGGAUGCCCAGGCCAACAGAUCAGAGGUCCCCAAAGUGCCUGCAAGACACCCAUGAAAUUUUCCAGAUCCAAGAAUCUCCAUACCAGUGACAAAGUCUGGCACAUUAUCCACACAAUUGUUACACUCCGGGUGACCUGUGAAAAAUACCACCUGUAACCAAAGUGUCCUGUGAAACUCAAAAUACAACUUGCAAGCACAAACAGACUGCAAAUUCAUUGAUACCUCCAACUCAACCACCAAGGAUAGGGAACAAAAGAUGGUAUUUUCAAUGGAGGGCAGAAUUGGAAUUGGCCUUCCUUUGCUUUUCUUGAUAAUAUCAGCUGCUCUGUUCCUCAGCCAAGCCAAGAGCCUUUUUCAUAGACCAUGACUAUCUAGUGAAAGCUCUCCUCCUCUUCCUCCUUCCUGCAUUGGCUGACUGCUGCAACAAGGCAACCUAGGGGCCCAUACUGCACUGCCCUGCAAUUCCGAGACCAAUGCACCUUUUGUGCAUAUGUAGUUUUAUAGGCAUGUAUGGCUGGUUCUCUUUUAAAUCAGAUGGUGCUACAGUAAACAAGUGUUUCCACGCAGAAGGGAACGUGUAGUCAUUUCUUUCCAAACUCUUAAAUCAACUUGGAAGUUAAAAAAAUGAGAGCUGAAAAAAACAACAAAACUCCCUCUCUCUGUCUCCAAUCUUUUAUAGUUAAGCUUCCAUGUGACAUGAUCACCUAAUUUGUAUACUUCGCUAG